Molecule: ribosomal RNA, 252 nt
Filed under: uncultured bacterium
Lineage: Bacteria
Description: partial 16S ribosomal RNA
Rfam family: Bacterial small subunit ribosomal RNA
Source: RNAcentral
ACGGGGGGAGCGAGCGUUGUCCGGAAUCAUUGGGCGUAAAGGGCGCGUAGGCUGGAAGAUCAGUCAGAUGUGAAAUAUCCCGGCUUAACCGGGAAGCUGCAUUUGAAACUGUCUUUCUUGAGUGUCGUAGGGGAUGAUGGAAUUCCUGGUGUAGCGGUGAAAUGCGUAGAUAUCAGGAAGAACACCGGUGGCGAAGGCGGUCAUCUGGACGAAUACUGACGCUGAGGCGCGAAAGCGUGGGUAGCAAACAGG